UGGGGAAUCUUCCGCAAUGGACGAAAGUCUGACGGAGCAACGCCGCGUGAGUGAAGGAGGUUUUCGGAUCGUAAAACUCUGUCUUUUGGGGCGAACGUGAGUAUGGUGAACAAUCAUAGUCAGUGACGGUACCAAAGGAGGAAGCCACGGCUAACUACGUGCCAGCAGCCGCGGUAAUACGUAGGUGGCAAGCGUUGUCCGGAAUUAUUGGGCGUAAAGAGCGCGUAGGCGGGAUAGUCAGUCUGUUGUAAAAGUGCGGGGCUCAACCCCGUGAUGGCAAUGGAAACAGCUAUUCUUGAGUGCAGGAGAGGAAAGUGGAAUUCCCAGUGUAGCGGUGAAAUGCGUAGAUAUUGGGAGGAACACCAGUGGCGAAGGCGACUUUCUGGACUGUGUCUGACGCUGAGGCGCGAAAGCCAGGGGAGCGAACGGGAUUAGAUACCCCGGUAGUCCUGGCCGUAAACGAUGGGUACUAGGUGUGGGAGGUAUCGACCCCUUCCGUGCCGGAGUUAACGCAAUAAGUACCCCGCCUGGGGAGUACGGUCGCAAGACUGAAACUUAAAUGAAUUGAC
RNAcentral lists this ribosomal RNA (569 nucleotides) under uncultured bacterium. RNAcentral describes it as "partial 16S ribosomal RNA". It matches the Rfam family "Bacterial small subunit ribosomal RNA", at positions 355 to 914 of the family's 1533-position model. The record is from RNAcentral.